ACACGUAAACAACCUGCCUUCAGGAUGGGGACAACAGACGGAAACGACUGCUAAUACCGAAUAAGUUCCAAGAGCCGCAUGGCCCAUGGAAGAAAAGGUGGCCUCUACCUGUAAGCUAUCGCCUGAAGAGGGGUUUGCGUCUGAUUAGCUGGUUGGAGGGGGUAACGGGCCCACCCAAGGCGACGAUCAGUAGCCGGUCUGAGAGGAUGAACGGCCACACUGGAACUGAGACACGGUCCAGACUCCUACGGGAGGCAGCAUG
This 262-nucleotide ribosomal RNA is filed under the name uncultured bacterium. Its description in RNAcentral is "partial 16S ribosomal RNA". It matches the Rfam family "Bacterial small subunit ribosomal RNA", at positions 113 to 353 of the family's 1533-position model. The record is from RNAcentral.